This 87-nucleotide transfer RNA is filed under the name Bacteroidales bacterium. RNAcentral describes it as "tRNA-Ser". It matches the Rfam family "tRNA". From Rfam's summary of the family: Transfer RNA (tRNA) molecules are approximately 80 nucleotides in length. Their secondary structure includes four short double-helical elements and three loops (D, anti-codon, and T loops). Lineage: Bacteria; Pseudomonadati; Bacteroidota; Bacteroidia; Bacteroidales. The record is from RNAcentral.
GGAGAGAUGCCAGAGCGGUCGAAUGGGGCGGUCUCGAAAACCGUUGAUCCCUUUGGGGAUCCCAGGGUUCGAAUCCCUGUCUCUCCG